Molecule: ribosomal RNA, 551 nt
Filed under: Bifidobacterium longum subsp. suillum
Lineage: Bacteria; Bacillati; Actinomycetota; Actinomycetes; Bifidobacteriales; Bifidobacteriaceae
Description: bacterial SSU rRNA
Rfam family: Bacterial small subunit ribosomal RNA
Source: RNAcentral
UCUCCUUGGAAACGGGUGGUAAUGCCGGAUGCUCCAGUUGAUCGCAUGGUCUUCUGGGAAAGCUUUCGCGGUAUGGGAUGGGGUCGCGUCCUAUCAGCUUGACGGCGGGGUAACGGCCCACCGUGGCUUCGACGGGUAGCCGGCCUGAGAGGGCGACCGGCCACAUUGGGACUGAGAUACGGCCCAGACUCCUACGGGAGGCAGCAGUGGGGAAUAUUGCACAAUGGGCGCAAGCCUGAUGCAGCGACGCCGCGUGAGGGAUGGAGGCCUUCGGGUUGUAAACCUCUUUUAUCGGGGAGCAAGCGAGAGUGAGUUUACCCGUUGAAUAAGCACCGGCUAACUACGUGCCAGCAGCCGCGGUAAUACGUAGGGUGCAAGCGUUAUCCGGAAUUAUUGGGCGUAAAGGGCUCGUAGGCGGUUCGUCGCGUCCGGUGUGAAAGUCCAUCGCUUAACGGUGGAUCCGCGCCGGGUACGGGCGGGCUUGAGUGCGGUAGGGGAGACUGGAAUUCCCGGUGUAACGGUGGAAUGUGUAGAUAUCGGGAAAGAACACC